GGCCUCCGCCCGAGCGUGAGUGGCCUGGCGGACUCGGGCCUGAGGCCGCAUGGACAGCCUGGCCGUGGGCCGGUGGCGACGGCGGAGGCCGGAGGAGCCGCAGGUUCCGGGGGACGUGAAACGGGCAUGCAGGAGACUAGAAGCCAGUGGGCAGGAGCCUGGCUGCCACCAGGUGAACACCUGUACCCUGGUGUCCUGGGGCCCCGAGGACUGGGAGUCUCCACCAAGAGGUUGCCCCCCAGCUCCGAGGCCCGAGAGUGGCCAGGGGAAGCCAAAUGCAGGGAUUCCUCAAAACGGUGGAAGGAGCCCAGCUCAGCCUUGCCCAAGAUGUAUUGCCGGGGAAUCUAAUUGUGUGAGCCUUGGGCAUGAUGUCUCCACCCACAGAUACGUCAGCAUGAAACGGGAGGACAUCAACCACAGAGAAAAAUCUGUGGAGCUGCUAGAAAGAAAGGACUGAUUAUCCAUGAAAAGACAGUAAUUUGACAACAGAUCUCUCAGUAACAACAGAUGCCAGGAGACCUUGGAAUGGCAUCUUUGAAAUACUGAGGGGACUGCAGCUGUGGGCCUGUGGGCAGGCUGUGCUGGGCCUUGAGCUGGGACGGCAAAAGUAAUGGGUCCCCCCCCACCAGAAGAGAACUUAAGUAGAUCAGUAACAAUGGAAGAAACUGAGAAAGUUAUCAAAAAGCUACCAUGCCAGUAACUGGUUGUGCGUCCUGCUGUUCCUGCGUACCGUCUACUUCCUGUGGGGCCCCGUAGAGAAGGGUGCACACCCACUGCAGUGAUCACCUCCAAGAAGGACGGGGGAGGAUGAGGCAAGAAUAUGGUAUGUGUUCAGUCUGCAUGGGGCACAGGUAGGUAUUAUAAAGAUAUUUCAUUAUACAAAGACUCAGGUCAGCAAAGUAAGGAUGAUUGUCUUAGAAGUCCACACUUUUGUUAUAGGCCUUGGAAGAAUUCUGUUGAGAAAAGACUGUUUGGUGGCUGUAAAGAUGAAUAUGCUUGAAAGAAAGAAAGAGUGAUUCCUCAGGCAGAUGGUAACGGCAGGAGUCGCAGACAUCUCUGACCCACAGAGGGCUGCUGUUACUGUGUCACACAGGAAAUCAGUGUGCCACCAUCCAAAGCCCCUGUCGGGUUCCCGGGGCUCAGGACAGCACCUGCCUUCCAGGAAACAGGGACAUCAUCAAGGACUGGACUGCUUUGUCCCCUGAUGCCCAGCCCACCCCACCCUCUUGGGCCUCAGUUAGCCCAGGAGCCUAUUUGCCGUCGUGGUGUGGUCCUUGCAGGACGGGGAGGCCACGCUUGCACUGCCUGUGUGCCAGGGUACAUGGCCAGGUGCGACAGAGAGUCCUAGAUGCUGACGGGACCUCUCACUGCACAGUGCUACAGUGUCUGGCCGAGUGUCCGUCCCCAGCCAUCUGGUUCUCCAGUUAUUUCUGUAGGGGCAUUUUAACCACACUGAGAAUCGUUAGAAGGUGCCAGCUGGACAAAGGAAGAUUCCAGUUUUGGUUUUGAACCCUCCGUGUGACAGCAAGUGUGAUCUCUUCCAGAUGUGUCUGGGCGCCCACCUGUCCAGAGGGCAUCCCGUGCGCCCUGCCAGGUGGCGGUUUGUCCUCUCAUCCAGGUAAUCCCACCUUCCUCUGCGCCAGAGCCUGGAGGAUCCACGUCACUUCAAAAGAGCCUCCUUUCAAGCGUAUCUUGCUUAAGAGGGAGAUGAGUUGCAUUAUUUAAAAGUUUAAAAAACUCCGUAUCAAACUCCCUGCGAGGUGUGGGAACCAUGGCUUAUGGAAUCAUAUCCAGAUGCAGUCCCGUUUCAUACUUUUCAGUUGUUUUAUGGCUGUAUUCAGGGCUGGUUAUGUACUCUUUUUAACUUAAAAGACUUAUUUUUGUAUUUAAAAUGCUGUAUAAUCUUGAAGUGAAUUUUACUGAAUGCUAGUAUCCAAUCCGAUCUGUAUAAUUCUCCAACCAAAGUUAUCAGAGACAGGACCCCUUUUAUAUUAAAAUGGAAAUUGCUCUUUU
Molecule: RNA transcript, 2013 nt
Organism: Lemur catta (Ring-tailed lemur)
Lineage: Eukaryota; Metazoa; Chordata; Mammalia; Primates; Lemuridae
Gene: C14H10orf143
Gene name: chromosome 14 C10orf143 homolog
Exons: 7
Source: RefSeq, a predicted model, not a curated record